GUGAUCAUCUUGUUAAAGUUUAUUUUUUCCUGGCUGGAUUUAAAGAACUACACUGCCAUGUUGUAGGCUGCAUGUUGGGUGACCAUUGUGACAAGGAACUUAGGGUGGCCCCUAGGAGCUGAGGAUGGUCUCCAGUUGAACAUCAACAAGACACUGAAAUUCUCUGUCCUUUAACUGCAAGGAACUAAAUUUUGCCAACGAAAAUCAAUCUUUCUCCAGUUGAGUUUCAGAUGAGACUGUACUUCCAGGCAAAUCCUUUUUGCAAUCUUGUUCACCCCAAACAGAGGACUCAGCUAAGCCCUUCCCAGAUUCCAGAUACACAGAAAUUUUAAGAUGAGAAUUGUGCAUCAAUGUUCAAGUCCCAAGAGAUGUUAUCAGUCUGAACAGCCCAGUGAACAAGUAUUUGUGACUCUCCUUCCAAAUGAAAUGUUCUACAGAAAGGUGGAAGUGUGUUGAUUACUGGCAGGCUUCUCUGGUCAUCUUUCUCCCUCCACUUCUAUCAACAUGGAGUUUUGUACUCAGCAAAAUAAAAAUCUUUCAAAACUGAGCACCAAAACAAAACAAAACAAAAGAUAUUUUUAUAUUAAAAAACUGAGAGACUUUGUUGGUAGCAAAUUAAAACUACAAUAAAUGGUUAAAUGAAGGAAUAUGGUAUCAAUUGGAAAUGUGGAUUUCCACAAAGGAAUUGAGGACAUUUGAUAUUAUAAAAAGGUAGGUAAGUAUAAAAGAAGUUUAUUUUUCUUAUUUUUGAAAACCUUAAGUAAUAAUUGACUUUUUAAAUCAAAACUAGUAACAAUGUAUUGAGGAGUUUACAAUAUGGAGAAAAGGAGUAGCAAAAGACUGUUGUAAGAUUCCUAGAAUGUAUGUGAAGUAGAGUAUUAUUAUUUGAUUGUAGACUGUGAUAAGUUAAAGAUGUAGAGAGUAAAUCUUAGAGCAAUUACAAAAAUAUGAUGUAAGACAAAUAAAUAGUGGAGACAAAAUUGAAUAAUAAAAAAACUAUUAAAUUAUUUCAAAUUGUUCUCUUCAAGAGACCCAAAAAAAAAAAAAAAAAAAGAGAGAGAGAGAGAUGGGACAAAUGGAAACCA
Long non-coding RNA from Pan troglodytes (chimpanzee), 1085 nucleotides. RefSeq lists it as uncharacterized. The transcript has 3 exons. The record is from RefSeq and is a predicted model, not a curated record. Lineage: Eukaryota; Metazoa; Chordata; Mammalia; Primates; Hominidae.